Molecule: ribosomal RNA, 379 nt
Filed under: uncultured cyanobacterium
Lineage: Bacteria; Bacillati; Cyanobacteriota
Description: bacterial SSU rRNA
Rfam family: Bacterial small subunit ribosomal RNA
Source: RNAcentral
CGAAAGCCUGACGGAGCAAGACCGCGUGGGGGAGGAAGGCUCUUGGGUUGUAAACCCCUUUUCUCAAGGAAGAAGUUCUGACGGUACUUGAGGAAUCAGCCUCGGCUAACUCCGUGCCAGCAGCCGCGGUAAUACGGAGGAGGCAAGCGUUAUCCGGAAUGAUUGGGCGUAAAGCGUCCGCAGGUGGCCGUUCAAGUCUGCUGUCAAAGCCAGGGGCUCAACUCCUGACCGGCAGUGGAAACUGAACAGCUAGAGUGCGGUAGGGGCAGAGGGAAUUCCCGGUGUAGCGGUGAAAUGCGUAGAGAUCGGGAAGAACACCGGUGGCGAAAGCGCUCUGCUGGGCCGCAACUGACACUCAGGGACGAAAGCUAGGGGAGCG